RNAcentral lists this ribosomal RNA (252 nucleotides) under uncultured bacterium. Its description in RNAcentral is "partial 16S ribosomal RNA". It matches the Rfam family "Bacterial small subunit ribosomal RNA", at positions 524 to 776 of the family's 1533-position model. The record is from RNAcentral.
UACGGAGGAUGCGAGCGUUAUCCGGAUUUAUUGGGUUUAAAGGGUGCGUAGGCGGACGCUUAAGUCAGCGGUAAAAUUGCGGGGCUCAACCUCGUCGAGCCGUUGAAACUGGGUGCCUUGAGUGGGCGAGAAGUACGCGGAAUGCGUGGUGUAGCGGUGAAAUGCAUAGAUAUCACGCAGAACUCCGAUUGCGAAGGCAGCGUACCGGCGCCUAACUGACGCUGAAGCACGAAGGCGUGGGUAUCGAACAGG